GGGCGUCAAAGCUUACCAAAGAAUAUCAAACUCCGAAUGCCAUGUAGAUGAUGAAUGGGAGUCAGACUGCACGAGAUAAGUUGGGUGGUCAAAAGGGAAAGAGCCCAGACCUACAGCUAAGGUCCCAAAGUGCGUGUUAAGUGGAAAAGGAUGUGGGAUUUCGAAGACAACUAGGAUGUUGGCUCAGAAGCAGCCAUCCAUUCAAAGAGUGCGUAAUAGCUCACUAGUCGAGAGGUCCUGCGCCGAAAAUGUCCGGGGCUGAAACACAACACCGAAGCUGCGGAAUUGCGAAUGCAAUUGGUAGAGGAGCAUUCUUAAUACCGACGAAGCUGUACCGGAAGGAGCAGUGGAGGGAUAAGAAGAGAGAAUGCCGGAAUGAGUAGCGAGAGAGAGGUGGGAAUCCUCUCGGCCGAAUAUCCAAGGUUUCCAGAGUAAAGCUGAUCUGCUCUGGGUAAGUCGGGGCCUAAGGCGAGGUCAAGAGACGUAGCCGAUGGACAACAGGUUUAGAUUCCUGUACCGCAUAUAAACAGAACUGUGGGGACGCAUGGGGAGAGCAUGGGCCGGGAAUGGAAAUACCGGUGCAAGCGAAGGAGGUGUGCAGCCGGCAAAUCCGCUGCAUGAGCCGAAAGCGUGACGCGGAGCGAAAUGAAAGUAGCGAAGCAUGUGAGCCCUGUGCCGAGAAAAGCCGCUAUAGCUUUAUAUGUGCCCGUACCGUAAACCGACACAGGUGGAUGAGGAGAGAAUCCUAAGGCCGGCGGAAGAAGUAUUGUUAAGGAACUCGGCAAAAUGACCCCGUAACUUCGGGAGAAGGGGUGCCCACGGGAGUGGGCCGCAGAGAAUAGGCUCAAGCAACUGUUUAGCAAAAACACAGGUCUAUGCGAAACCGAAAGGUGAAGUAUAUGGGCUGACGCCUGCCCGGUGCUGGAAGGUUAAGAGGAGAGGUUAGCGCAAGCGAAGCUUUGAAUUUAAGCCCCAGUAAACGGCGGCCGUAACUAUAACGGUCCUAAGGUAGCGAAAUUCCUUGUCGGGUAAGUUCCGACCCGCACGAAAGGCGUAAUGAUUUGAGCACUGUCUCGACAAUACAUCCGGUGAAAUUGAAGUACCAGUGAAGAUGCUGGUUACCCGCGCCAGGACGGAAAGACCCCAUGGAGCUUUACUCCAGUUUGGUACUGGGAUUCGGUACUGCACGUACAGGAUAGGUGGGAGACUUUGAAACUUGAACGCCAGUUUGAGUGGAGUCGCUGUUGGGAUACCACCCCUGCAGUAUUGGAUUUCUAACCAGUCACCGUGAUCCGGUGAUGGGACAAUGCCAGGCGGGGAGUUUGACUGGGGCGGUCGCCUCCGAAAGGGUAUCGGAGGCGCUCAAAGGUUCCCUCAGAAUGGUCGGAAACCAUUUGAAGAGUGCAAAGGCAGAAGGGAGCUUGACUGCGACACCGACGGGUGGAGCAGGUAGGAAACUAGGACUUAGUGAUCCGGUGGCAUAAAGUGGGAUUGCCAUCGCUCAACGGAUAAAAGCUACCCUGGGGAUAACAGGCUUAUCACUCCCAAGAGUUCACAUCGACGGAGUGGUUUGGCACCUCGAUGUCGGCUCAUCGCAUCCUGGGGCUGUAGCAGGUCCCAAGGGUUGGGCUGUUCGCCCAUUAAAGCGGUACGCGAGCUGGGUUCAGAACGUCGUGAGACAGUUCGGUCCCUAU
This 1694-nucleotide ribosomal RNA is filed under the name human gut metagenome. RNAcentral's name for it is "bacterial LSU rRNA". It matches the Rfam family "Bacterial large subunit ribosomal RNA", at positions 924 to 2641 of the family's 2925-position model. The record is from RNAcentral.